Molecule: ribosomal RNA, 404 nt
Filed under: uncultured bacterium
Lineage: Bacteria
Description: bacterial SSU rRNA
Rfam family: Bacterial small subunit ribosomal RNA
Source: RNAcentral
UUGGGAAUCUUGCGCAAUGGGGGAAACCCUGACGCAGCGACGCCGCGUGCGGGAUGACGGCCUUCGGGUCGUAAACCGCUUUUCCCAGGGACGAUAAUGACGGUACCUGGGGAAUCAGCCCCGGCUAACUCCGUGCCAGCAGCCGCGGUAAGACGGAGGGGGCUAGCGUUGUCCGGAAUUACUGGGCGUAAAGCGCUCGUAGGCGGUCGCGUACGGCGGUGGUGAAAGCUCCCGGCUCAACUGGGAGAGGCCCGCCGCAACGGCGUGACUCGAGGGUGGUAGAGGCAAAUGGAAUUCCAGGUGUAGCGGUGAAAUGCGUAGAGAUCUGGAGGAACACCCGUGGCGAAGGCGGUUUGCUGGGCCAUGCCUGACGCUGAGGAGCGAAAGCUAGGGGAGCGAACGGG